GGAUUCCAGACAUUUCUGCAAUACUCCAAAGUUCAUGUCGAGGAAAUCAGUGGACUUAAACAUUUGGCAGCAGUGAAACAUGUGGAAGAUGGGAUACAUUGAUAUAUCAGAUGCCUCUAAUGAAUCUGUGUGGAAAAUCCACCAAACAAGAAACAUCAUUCUGCUAGGAAUACAGCAGUGAGUAACCAAGACGUGGCUCUUUUUCUCAUGGCGCUUACCAUCUAAGGCGUUAUUUCUUUUUCUUUUACUACAGAAGUAGCUAGGAUCUCCUGUACAAUGUUUAAUUAAGGCAAC
Hyaena hyaena (striped hyena) is the source of this 294-nucleotide long non-coding RNA. RefSeq lists it as uncharacterized. Lineage: Eukaryota; Metazoa; Chordata; Mammalia; Carnivora; Hyaenidae. The transcript is spliced from 4 exons. The record is from RefSeq and is a predicted model, not a curated record.